CAAUAGCGUAUAUUUAAGUUGUUGCAGUUAAAAAGCUCGUAGUUGGAUUUCGGGUGGGACGCAGCGGUCUCGCAUUGCGUUUGUACUGCUGCAGCCCUCCUUCUUGCCGGGGGCGGCCUCUCGGACUUCACUGUCUGGGGGUCAGAAUCGGCGAUGUUACUUUGAGUAAAUUAGAGUGUUCAAAGCAAGCUUACGCUCUGAAUAUAAUAGCAUGGAAUAACACGACAGGACUCUGGCCUAUCGUGUUGGUCUAUAGGACCAGAGUAAUGAUUAAGAGGGACAGUCGGGGGCAUUCGUAUUCCGUUGUCAGAGGUGAAAUUCUUGGAUUUACGGAAGACGAACAUCUGCGAAAGCAUUUGCCAAGGAUGUUUUCAUUGA
RNAcentral lists this ribosomal RNA (378 nucleotides) under uncultured eukaryote. RNAcentral's name for it is "partial 18S ribosomal RNA". It matches the Rfam family "Eukaryotic small subunit ribosomal RNA", at positions 592 to 976 of the family's 1831-position model. The record is from RNAcentral.